GGGUGGCGUGUCGGAUUAUUGGGCGUAAGGGCUCGCAGGCGGUUUCUUAAGUCUGAUGUGAAAGCCCCCGGCUCAACCGGGGAGGGUCAUUGGAAACUGGGGAACUUGAGUGCAGAAGAGGAAAGUGGAAUUCCACGUGUAGCGGUGAAAUGCGUAGAGAUGUGGAGGAACACCAGUGGCGAAGGCGACUCUCUGGUCUGUAACUGACGCUGAGGAGCGAAAGCGUGGGGAGCGAACAGGAUUAGAUACCCUGGUAGUCCACGCCGUAAACGAUGAGUGCUAAGUGUUAGGGGGUUUCCGCCCCUUAGUGCUGCAGCUAACGCAUUAAGCACUCCGCCUGGGGAGUACGGUCGCAAGACUGAAACUCAAAGGAAUUGACGGGGGCCCGCACAAGCGGUGGAGCAUGUGGUUUAAUUCGAAGCAACGCGAAGAACCUUACCAGGUCUUGACAUCCUCUGACAAUCCUAGAGAUAGGACGUCCCCUUCGGGGGCAGAGUGACAGGUGGUGCAUGGUUGUCGUCAGCUCGUGUCGUGAGAUGUUGGGUUAAGUCCCGCAACGAGCGCAACCCUUGAUCUUAGUUGCCAGCAUUCAGUUGGGCACUCUAAGGUGACUGCCGGUGACAAACCGGAGGAAAGUGGGGAUGACGUCAAAUCAUCAUGCCCCUUAUGACCUGGGCUACACACGUGCUACAAUGGACAGAACAAAGGGCAGCGAAACCGCGAGGUUAAGCCAAUCCCACAAAUCUGUUCUCAGUUCGGAUCGCAGUCUGCAACUCGACUGCGUGAAGCUGGAAUCGCUAGUAAUCGCGGAUCAGCAUGCCGCGGGGGAAUACGUUCCCGGGCCUUGUACACACCGCCCGUCACACCACGAGAGUUUGUAACACCCGAAGUCGGUGAGGUAACCUUUUAUGAGCCAGCCGCCGAAGGUGGGACAGAUGAUUGGGGUGAGUAUAAAAGAGGGGGGAAAAAAAAAAAAAAAAAAAUUUUAAAAAAAU
Molecule: ribosomal RNA, 995 nt
Filed under: Bacillus subtilis
Lineage: Bacteria; Bacillati; Bacillota; Bacilli; Caryophanales; Bacillaceae
Description: bacterial SSU rRNA
Rfam family: Bacterial small subunit ribosomal RNA
Source: RNAcentral